AUUGAACGCUGGCGGCAGGCUUAACACAUGCAAGUCGAGCGGGGUGAUGGUGCUUGCACUAUCACUUAGCGGCGGACGGGUGAGUAAUGCUUAGGAAUCUGCCUAUUAGUGGGGGACAACAUCUCGAAAGGGAUGCUACUACCGCAUAAGUCCGACGGGAGAAAGCAGGGGAUCACUUGUGACCUUGCGCUAAUAGAUGAGCUUAAGUCGGAUUAGCUAGUUGGUGGGGUAAAGGCCUACCAAUGCGACGAUCUGUAGCGAGUCAGAGAGGAUGAUCCGCCACACUGGGACUGAGACACGGCCCAGACUCCUACGGGAGGCAGCAGUGGGGAAUAUUGGACAAUGGGGGGAACCCUGAUCCAGCCAUGCCGCGUGUGUGAAGAAGGCCUUAUGGUUGUAAAGCACUUUAAGCGAGGAGGAGGCUCUUUUGGUUAAUACCCAAGAUGAGUGUACGUUACUCGCAGAAUAAGCACCGGCUAACUCUGUGCCAGCAGCCGCCGUAA
Molecule: ribosomal RNA, 503 nt
Filed under: uncultured bacterium
Lineage: Bacteria
Description: partial 16S ribosomal RNA
Rfam family: Bacterial small subunit ribosomal RNA
Source: RNAcentral